RNAcentral lists this ribosomal RNA (253 nucleotides) under uncultured bacterium. RNAcentral describes it as "partial 16S ribosomal RNA". It matches the Rfam family "Bacterial small subunit ribosomal RNA", at positions 524 to 776 of the family's 1533-position model. The record is from RNAcentral.
UACGUAGGGGGCAAGCGUUGUCCGGAAUUAUUGGGCGUAAAGAGCGCGUAGGCGGUCCGAUAAGUCGGCUGUGAAAGUCAGGGGCUCAACCCUUGAAAGCCGGCCGAUACUGUCGGACUAGAGUCCGGAAGAGGCAAGUGGAAUUCCCGGUGUAGCGGUGAAAUGCGCAGAUAUCGGGAGGAACACCAAUGGCGAAGGCAGCUUGCUGGGACGGUACUGACGCUGAGACGCGAAAGCGUGGGGAGCAAAUAGG